This 1306-nucleotide ribosomal RNA is filed under the name uncultured organism. Its description in RNAcentral is "bacterial SSU rRNA". It matches the Rfam family "Bacterial small subunit ribosomal RNA", at positions 165 to 1487 of the family's 1533-position model. The record is from RNAcentral.
AAUACCAGAUAAUGUCUUCGGGACAAAGAUUAUCGGCAUUGGAGCGGCCUAUCUCCUAUCAGCUUGUUGGUGAGGUAACGGCUCACCAAGGCAACGACGGGUAGCGGGACUGAGAGGUUGGCCCGCCACAUCGGGACUGAGACACUGCCCGGACCUCCACGGAGGGCUGCAGUAACGGAUAUUGGGCAAUGGGCGAAAGCCUGACCCAGCAAUGCCGCGUGCAGGAUGAAGCCCCUAGGGGUGUAAACUGCUGUCAGGGGUCAGAAAGCUGGUUUCGGCCAGUUGAUCAACCCCAGAGGAAGUCACGGCUAACUUCGUGCCAGCAGCCGCGGUAAUACGAAGGUGGCAAGCGUUAUUCGGAAUCGUUGGGCUUAAAGGGCACGCAGGCGGAACAGUGUGUGUUGUGUGAAUCCCCCGGCUUAACCGGGGAAUUGCACAGCAAACUGUUGUUCUUGAGGCAGGUAGGGGUGCAUGGAACUCUUGGUGGAGCGGUGGAAUGCGUAGAUAUCAAGAGGAACGCCAGAGGUGAAGACGGUGCACUGGGCCUGUCCUGACGCUGAGGUGCGAAAGCGUGGGGAGCGAACGGGAUUAGAUACCCCGGUAGUCCACGCCGUAAACGAUGUCUACUAGGUCGUGGGUGUUCUGACACAUUCACGGCCGGAGCAAAAGUGUUUAGUAGACCGCCUGGGGAGUACGGCCGCAAGGUUAAAACUCAAAUGAAUUGACGGGGGCUCACACAAGCGGUGGAGCAUGUGGAUUAAUUCGAAGCAACGCGCAGAACCUUACCUGGGUUUGACAUGCUUGUAUGCCUUCUCUGAAAGGAGUUAGGCUGCCUUCGGGUGAAACUUGCACAGGUGCUGCAUGGCUGUCGUCAGCUCGUGUCGUGAGAUGUCGGGUUAAGUCCUUUAACGAGCGAAACCCUUGCCGUUAGUUGCCAGCGAGUAAUGUCGGGGACUCUAACGGGACUGCCGGUGUUAAACCGGAGGAAGGUGGGGAUGACGUCAAGUCCUCAUGGCCUUUAUGCCCAGGGCUUCACACGUGCUACAAUGGCAAUUACAGAGCGACGCGAUACCGCGAGGUGGAGCAAAUCGCAAAAAAAUUGCCUCAGUUCGGAUUGCAGGCUGGCAAUUCGCCUGCAUGAAGUCGGAAUCGCUAGUAAUCGCGUAUCAGCAAUGACGCGGUGAAUGUGUUCCUGAGCCUUGUACACACCGCCCGUCAAGUGAUGGAAGCCGGGAGUACCCGAAGUCGGGUUGCUAACCUUUGGGAGGCGCCUGCCGACGGUAAGUUCGGUGACUGGCACUAAGUC